This 248-nucleotide long non-coding RNA is filed under the name Gossypium barbadense (sea-island cotton). Its description in RNAcentral is "long non-coding RNA (GBAR_LNC017175)". Lineage: Eukaryota; Viridiplantae; Streptophyta; Magnoliopsida; Malvales; Malvaceae. The record is from RNAcentral.
CAGUGGAGGUGGUUAAAGAUAGUAGAUCUUGCCUUCCUGCAUUGACAGCGAAGCAGAUCGGAAACAAAGCCUUGCCUCUAGCGGUUGCAGUGGAGCUAGUUAAAGAUGACAGAUCUUAUCUCCCUAAGCACUAGCGGAGUAGAUCGAAGACGGUGAAUCUUAUCUUCCCUAGGAGUAGGGAAAUAGAUUUAAGCCACAAGUCCUAUGCCCCUGACGAGUAGUGGAAUAGGUUGGAAACUACAGAUCUU